RNAcentral lists this ribosomal RNA (429 nucleotides) under Chloroflexota bacterium. Its description in RNAcentral is "Chloroflexi bacterium partial 16S ribosomal RNA". It matches the Rfam family "Bacterial small subunit ribosomal RNA", at positions 355 to 776 of the family's 1533-position model. The record is from RNAcentral. Lineage: Bacteria; Bacillati; Chloroflexota.
UGGGGAAUAUUGCACAAUGGGCGCAAGCCUGAUGCAGCCAUGCCGCGUGUAUGAAGAAGGCCUUCGGGUUGCAAAGUACUUUCAGCGGGGAGGAAGGGAGUAAAGUUAAUACCUUUGCUCAUUGACGUUACCCGCAGAAGAAGCACCGGCUAACUCCGUGCCAGCAGCCGCGGUAAUACGGAGGGUGCAAGCGUUAAUCGGAAUUACUGGGCGUAAAGCGCACGCAGGCGGUUUGUUAAGUCAGAUGUGAAAUCCCCGGGCUCAACCUGGGAACUGCAUCUGAUACUGGCAAGCUUGAGUCUCGUAGAGGGGGGUAGAAUUCCAGGUGUAGCGGUGAAAUGCGUAGAGAUCUGGAGGAAUACCGGUGGCGAAGGCGGCCCCCUGGACGAAGACUGACGCUCAGGUGCGAAAGCGUGGGGAGCAAACAGG